CAGGGAACUACUGUAGAUGGCUGUCAAUUUCUCCAUAAUGUUUUAUGUACAUUUUGUGGCCUCUUCUCCAUGCCAUGUACAACGCAUAUGUGAACACUGCAGUAGCAAACAGCUUAUAAGAUUAAUUCAUCUGGAGGAGGACAAUCCUUUCAGGAUUCAUCUUCUGUGUCCAAUUUAAAGAGGGUUUCUCAGUCUGAGUCUGUAAGUGGAAGACAGGAUAUCAUUCACAUAAACCUUUAAAAAAACUUUCUAAGCCUUAAAUCAAAAGAAGAAUUUUAAAUUUUUAUAUUUUUCAGAGAAGUAACUAAAACCUCUCCAGGCAUAAUUUAUGCUGUUGACA
This 340-nucleotide long non-coding RNA is filed under the name Coturnix japonica (Japanese quail). Its description in RNAcentral is "lncRNA (ENSCJPG00005003717.1)". Lineage: Eukaryota; Metazoa; Chordata; Aves; Galliformes; Phasianidae. The record is from RNAcentral.